GGAAUAUUGGGCAAUGGAGGAAACUCUGACCCAGCGACGCCGCGUGCGGGAUGAAGGCCUUCGGGUUGUAAACCGCUUUCAGUAGGGAAGAAGCGGAAGUGACGGUACCUACAAAAGAAGCACCGGCUAACUAUGUGCCAGCAGCCGCGGUAAUACAUAGGGUGCAAGCGUUGUCCGGAAUUAUUGGGCGUAAAGAGCUCGUAGGUCGUUUGUUACGUCGGAUGUGAAAACCUGAGGCUCAACCUCAGGCCUGCAUUCGAUACGGGCAAACUAGAGUUUGGUAGGGGAGACUGGAAUUCCUGGUGUAGCGGUGGAAUGCGCAGAUAUCAGGAGGAACACCAAUGGCGAAGGCAGGUCUCUGGGCCAAUACUGACACUGAGGAGCGAAAGUCUGGGGAGCGAACAGGAUUAGAUACCCUGGUAGUCCAGACCGUAAACGGUGGGCACUAGUUGUGGGAACCUUCCACGGUUUCUGCGACGCAGCUAACGCAUUAAGUGCCCCGCCUGGGGAGUACGAUCGCAAGAUUAAAACUCAAAGGAAUUGACGG
RNAcentral lists this ribosomal RNA (547 nucleotides) under uncultured bacterium. RNAcentral describes it as "bacterial SSU rRNA". It matches the Rfam family "Bacterial small subunit ribosomal RNA", at positions 358 to 916 of the family's 1533-position model. The record is from RNAcentral.